RNAcentral lists this transfer RNA (73 nucleotides) under Ornithorhynchus anatinus (platypus). It matches the Rfam family "tRNA". From Rfam's summary of the family: Transfer RNA (tRNA) molecules are approximately 80 nucleotides in length. The record is from Rfam by way of RNAcentral. Lineage: Eukaryota; Metazoa; Chordata; Mammalia; Monotremata; Ornithorhynchidae.
AGCAGUGUGGCCUAGUGGGGAAGAGCACGGGUCCGGGAGCCAGAGGACCUGGGUUCUAAUCCCAGCUCUGCCA